GAGCCGGUGGUGAAACCGGAUACCCCACUCCCGACCCGUCGCACCUUGCAGGGAGCCGACAAGACUAGGGAGAGAUGCAGGUUCGAAUCCUGCCCGGCUCGCCA
This 104-nucleotide transfer RNA is filed under the name Caulobacterales bacterium. RNAcentral describes it as "tRNA-OTHER". It matches the Rfam family "tRNA". Rfam says of the family: Transfer RNA (tRNA) molecules are approximately 80 nucleotides in length. Lineage: Bacteria; Pseudomonadati; Pseudomonadota; Alphaproteobacteria; Caulobacterales. The record is from RNAcentral.